Molecule: ribosomal RNA, 510 nt
Filed under: uncultured bacterium
Lineage: Bacteria
Description: bacterial SSU rRNA
Rfam family: Bacterial small subunit ribosomal RNA
Source: RNAcentral
UUGAUCCUGGCUCAGGAUGAACGCUAGCGGCAGGCUUAACACAUGCAAGUCGAGGGGUAUAGUUCUUCGGAGCUAGAGACCGGCGCACGGGUGCGUAACGCGUAUGCAAUCUACCUUUUGCAGAGGGAUAGCCCAGAGAAAUUUGGAUUAAUACCUCAUAGUAUGUGAGAAUGGCAUCAUUUUCACAUUAAAGUCACAACGGCAAAAGAUGAGCAUGCGUCCCAUUAGCUUGUUGGUAAGGUAACGGCUUACCAUGGCGACGAUGGGUAGGGGUCCUGAGAGGGAGAUCCCCCACACUGGUACUGAGACACGGACCAGACUCCUACGGGAGGCAGCAGUGAGGAAUAUUGGACAAUGGGCGCAAGCCUGAUCCAGCCAUGCCGCGUGCAGGAUGACGGUCCUAUGGAUUGUAAACUGCUUUUGUACAGGAAGAAACACUCCCUCGUGAGGGAGCUUGACGGUACUGUAAGAAUAAGGAUCGGCUAACUCCGUGCCAGCAGCCGCGGUAAU